GAGGAGAGAUCUCGGUCUGGGUUCGCCCUGUACUGGGAGCCUCGAAUCUUUUUUCUGGGGAAGCUGGGUGUCUUUAAUCGGGCGCCCAGGGGAACCAGGACGAUUACCUUGAGAAAAAUAGAGUGUUCAAAGCAGGCUUGUGCUUGAAUACGUUAGCAUGGAAUAAUGAAAUAGGACUUUGGUUCUAUUUUGUUGGUUUUAAGGACCAAUGUC
Molecule: ribosomal RNA, 213 nt
Filed under: uncultured fungus
Lineage: Eukaryota; Fungi
Description: partial small subunit ribosomal RNA
Rfam family: Eukaryotic small subunit ribosomal RNA (bases 90-213)
Source: RNAcentral